Molecule: transfer RNA, 17 nt
Filed under: Sphagnum subsecundum
Lineage: Eukaryota; Viridiplantae; Streptophyta; Sphagnopsida; Sphagnales; Sphagnaceae
Description: partial tRNA-Phe
Source: RNAcentral
ACAAAAGCCGGGAUAGC